This 289-nucleotide long non-coding RNA is filed under the name Pan troglodytes (chimpanzee). RNAcentral describes it as "long non-coding RNA NONPTRT015611". The record is from RNAcentral. Lineage: Eukaryota; Metazoa; Chordata; Mammalia; Primates; Hominidae.
CUGCUUCACUCUGUGAAUAUUAUAGACAAAAAUAAAUAAUGAACACCUAAUGCAAGAAGUCUCAAAACCAAAGAGCUGAGGAAAUAUAUUUGGCAAAGGUUUUAGCUCUAAAUUCACACCAAGAAAGAAAAACUAGAGAAUUCCUUGACAUCAAUACCAAAGAAACCAAGUUUAUAGUGCUGUUUAUAUAGAAAUAGAAAGGGAUAAAGACAGUAAUGAAUAUUGUGGAAUGUUUUAGGAUGUUAAAAGAUAUAACUAAGAACUGAAGACAAGAAGUUUAACGUCCAAA